AGAGUUUGAUCCUGGCUCAGAAUGAACGUUGGCGGCGUGGAUUAGGCAUGCAAGUCGAACGGGCCGCAAGGCCAGUGGCGCAAGGGUGAGUAAGGCGACGGUAACCAACCCCAUGAUUGGGUAUAGCCGCGGGAAACCGCGGGUAAUCCCCAGCGACGCAACGACACCGGCCUCGGUGUUUUGCCAAAGCUUCGGCGUCGUGGGACGGGCUGUCGUGGUAUUAGGUAGUUGGCGGGGUAACGGCCCACCAAGCCGACGAUGCCUACCGGGCGUGCGAGCGUGGCCCGGCACACUGGGACUGAGACACUGCCCAGACUCCUACGGGAGGCUGCAGUCGAGAAUCUUCGGCAAUGGGCGCAAGCCUGACCGAGCGACGCCGCGUGGAGGACGAAGGCCUUCGGGUUGUAAACUCCUGUCGAGGGGGAAGAAGGCCCCGCAAGGGGCUUGACUGAUCCCUGGAGGAAGCACGGGCUAAGUUCGUGCCAGCCGCCGCGGUAAUUC
Molecule: ribosomal RNA, 501 nt
Filed under: uncultured bacterium
Lineage: Bacteria
Description: bacterial SSU rRNA
Rfam family: Bacterial small subunit ribosomal RNA
Source: RNAcentral